AGUGGUUCUCAACAGUUCAACAGUUCUUUUGAUGAUUGUGAAAUGUUCAGGACCACUUG
This 59-nucleotide microRNA precursor is filed under the name Danio rerio (zebrafish). RNAcentral describes it as "Dre-Mir-203-P1-v1_pre stem-loop". It matches the Rfam family "mir-203 microRNA precursor family", at positions 14 to 73 of the family's 80-position model. Lineage: Eukaryota; Metazoa; Chordata; Actinopteri; Cypriniformes; Danionidae. RNAcentral also lists the same sequence under 1 other name. The record is from RNAcentral.